This 253-nucleotide ribosomal RNA is filed under the name uncultured bacterium. Its description in RNAcentral is "partial 16S ribosomal RNA". It matches the Rfam family "Bacterial small subunit ribosomal RNA", at positions 524 to 776 of the family's 1533-position model. The record is from RNAcentral.
UACAGAGGUCCCAAGCGUUGUUCGGAUUCACUGGGCGUAAAGGGUGCGUAGGCGGUCGGGUAAGUCUGAUGUGAAAUCUCACAGCUUAACUGUGAAACUGCAUUGGAUACUAUCCGGCUCGAGGAAUGGAGGGGAGACUGGAAUACUUGGUGUAGCAGUGAAAUGCGUAGAUAUCAAGUGGAACACCAGUGGCGAAGGCGAGUCUCUGGACAUCUCCUGACGCUGAGGCACGAAAGCCAGGGGAGCAAACGGG